This is a non-coding RNA of Odocoileus virginianus texanus, 596 nucleotides long. Lineage: Eukaryota; Metazoa; Chordata; Mammalia; Artiodactyla; Cervidae. The record is from RefSeq and is a predicted model, not a curated record.
CCUGAAAGGGUAUAAAUAGGGAGGUCAGAGGCAGAGAGUCUGGGUUACGCCACUUCUUGGCACCAUCAUGACUAAGGCAACUAGGAAGCCACGGCAGUCAAGAAGACUUGCAAUGCGGUUUGCUUCAAGGAAGAAUGGAAAAAAGAAGACCCUUUGUCAAAGGAGGUGCAGAGGCAGUGUGAAGGCAUGAAAUAUGACCAUGAGGGUCAGAAGACCUUUACAAGGAAACUUAAGAAGGAAAAUCUGAUCGUAUGCCACUCAAUCAAAGAAGGUGAAGAAAACAAGAAAGCCAAUCUUUUUCUUCUCUCCCUCUGCAUGUAAGAAAUGGAAUCAAAGCCAAAAAAGGCACCAACAUAUGAGACAUAGUCAAAGAAGGAGGCAGAAUCAAGAUAGAAGAUAAGCUCAGCCACCCCAGAAUAAGAGACCCUGGAGAAGUACAACCUGGGCAGCCAGUAAGUGAAUAGAAAAGAUCAGACAGUUUAGAAUUGUGUCUCCAGAGGUCUGCUUUCUUAGAAAUGGCCAGCCAAGAAAAGACUCUCACACUAACAUAGUACACUGAUGGCUGCAAUUAAAACAAACAUCAAAUGGUGAUAAGA